UACGGGGGGAGCAAGCGUUGUUCGGAUUUACUGGGCGUAAAGGGCGCGUAGGCGGUAGCACAAGUCAGUUGUGAAAUCUCCGGGCUUAACUCGGAAAGGUCAACUGAUACUGUGCGACUAGAGUGCAGAAGGGGCAACUGGAAUUCUCGGUGUAGCGGCGAAAUGCGUAGAUAUCGAGAGGAACACCUGCGGCGAAGGCGGGUUGCUGGGCUGACACUGACGCUGAUGCGCGAAAGCCAGGGGAGCGAACGGG
This 253-nucleotide ribosomal RNA is filed under the name uncultured bacterium. RNAcentral describes it as "partial 16S ribosomal RNA". It matches the Rfam family "Bacterial small subunit ribosomal RNA", at positions 524 to 776 of the family's 1533-position model. The record is from RNAcentral.